RNAcentral lists this ribosomal RNA (401 nucleotides) under uncultured bacterium. RNAcentral's name for it is "bacterial SSU rRNA". It matches the Rfam family "Bacterial small subunit ribosomal RNA", at positions 29 to 421 of the family's 1533-position model. The record is from RNAcentral.
AAUGAACGCUGGCGGCGCGCCUAAUACAUGCAAGUCGAGCGAGAAGACGUAGCAAUACGUUUGUAAAGCGGUGAACGGGUGAGGAAUACAUGGGUAACCUACCCUCGAGUGGGGAAUAACUAGCCGAAAGGUUAGCUAAUACCGCGUACGCUUCUUGGACUUCGGUUCAGGGAGGAAAGCGAUACCGUGGGUAUCGCGCUCUUGGAUGGGCUCAUGUCCUAUCAGCUUGUUGGUGAGGAACGGCUCACCAAGGCUUCGACGGGUAGCUGGUCUGAGAGGACGAUCAGCCACACUGGCACUGCGACACGGGCCAGACUCCUACGGGAGGCAGCAGUAAGGAAUAUUGCGCAAUGGGCGAAAGCCUGACGCAGCGACGCCGCGUGGGGGAUGAAGGUCUUCGG